Molecule: non-coding RNA, 1848 nt
Organism: Haemonchus placei
Lineage: Eukaryota; Metazoa; Nematoda; Chromadorea; Rhabditida; Trichostrongylidae
Source: Rfam
GAGCGAGUGGACAAGGGCGCACGGGGGAUGCCUGUGGCUCACGGAGGCGACGAAGGGCGCGGCAGGCCGCGAAAGGCCGCGGGGAGGCGCGAGCAGCCGGGGAUCCGCGGACACCCGAAUGGGGCAACCCGCCGCACGGGAGGUGCGGCAUCCGCCUUAGGGGCGGAGGCGAACCCGCCGAACUGAAACAUCUAAGUAGGCGGAGGAAAGGAGAACAACAGUGACUCCCCGAGUAGCGGCGAGCGAAAGGGGACCAGCCCAAACCGGGGGCGUCGAGGCGCGCCCGGGGUUGUAGGGCUGCCGUAGAGGAAGCUGCGCGCGCAGCGGAACCCGCAUGGGAAGGCGGGCCGUAGAGGGUGAGAGCCCCGUACGCGAAGCGCGCGCGAACCUGGCAGUACCCUGAGUAGGGCGGGGCCGGAGGAACCCUGUCCGAAGCAGGCGGCACCAUCCGCCAAGGCUAAGCACUACCGUGAGACCGAUAGCGAACGAGUACCGUGAGGGAAAGGUGAAAAGCACCGCGAGGAGCGGAGUGAAAGAGACCCUGAAACCGUGCGCCUGCAAGCGGUCGGAGCCACUUUUUAGUGGUGACGGCGUGCCUUUUGCAUAAUGAGCCUACGAGUCGCUCGUCGGCGGCGAGGGGGAGCGCCUGGAGGCGCGGACCCGGAGCGAGAGCGAGCCCGAAGAGGGCGCGGAGUCGCCGGCGGCGGACGCGAAACUUUGCGAUCUACCCCAGGGCAGGCUGAAGGCGCCGUGACAGGCGCUGGAGGGCCGAACCGGUGAGCGUUGAAAAGCUUUCGGACGACCUUGGGGUAGGGGUGAAAGGCCAAUCAAGCUGAGAGAUAGCUCGUACUCCCCGAAAUGCCUUUAGGGGCAGCCUCGCGGGAUGCGUCGCGGAGGUAGAGAUACUGAUUGGGCGAGGGGGCUUCGCCGCCUACCGACCCCAGCCAAACUCCGAAUGCCGCGACGGCCACCGCGGGAGUGAGGGGCGGGGUGCUAACGUCCCGUCCCGAGAGGGAAAGAACCCGGACCUUCGUCCAAGGCCCCCAAGUGCGCGCUAAGUUGAACUAACGAGGUCCGCCUGCUGAGACAGCUGGGAUGUUGGCUUGGAAGCAGCCAUUCAUUCAAAGAGUGCGUAACAGCUCACCAGUCGAGCGGGCGGGUGUGGAUAAUGAACGGGCAUGAAGCGCGCCGCCGAAGACAAGGGAUGCGAGAGCAUCGGUAGGGGAGCAUUCCGCCCAGCGCGGAAGCCGCCUCGCGAGGGGCGGUGGAGCGGGCGGAAAAGCAAAUGUAGGCAUGAGUAACGACAAUGCGGGUGCGAAACCCGCACACCGGAAGACCAAGGGUUCCUGAUCAACGCUAAUCGGAUCAGGGUCAGUCGGGGCCUAAGGGGUCGCUGCUGUUGAGGCAGCCCACCCCGAUGGACAACGGGUCAACAUUCCCGUACCCGGCGCGGCUGCGAAGCGGGGACGGAGGACCGGAACCGCCGCCGGCAGACGGAGUUGCCGGUUGAAGCAGGAAGGUAAACGCCGUGGAGUGAAGCACCCAGGGCGUGCCGAGCUGCGACAGUACGCCGACCCUUCGGGGGAGGCGACAGCGCGGGGAAGGCGGCUCCCGAGAAAAGCCGCUAAGCUUCAGGCCGUGCCGGCCCGUACCGGAGACCGACACAGGUGGUCGAGGAGAGUAUCCAAAGGUGCUCGAGUGAGUCACAGCCAAGGAACUAGGCAAAUUUACCCUGUAACUUCGGGAGAAAGGGUCCUCGCGUAAGCGAGGCGCAGAGAAAUGGCCCGGGCGACUGUUUAACAAAAACACAGGGCUAUGCGAAGCCGCAAGGCGAGGUAUAUGGCCCGA